Molecule: ribosomal RNA, 119 nt
Filed under: Oncorhynchus kisutch (coho salmon)
Lineage: Eukaryota; Metazoa; Chordata; Actinopteri; Salmoniformes; Salmonidae
Source: RNAcentral
GCUUACGACCACACCGGCCUGAGUACGCCUGAUCUCGUCUGAUCUCGGAAGCUAAGCAGGGUCGGGCCUGGUUAGUACUUGGAUGGGAGAUCACUUGGGAAAACCAGGUGCUGUAAGCU